CACAUGUGACGUAGUUUGAUCCUGGCUCAGGAUGAACGCUAGCGGUGUGCCUAAUGCAUGCAAGUCGAACGGGAUCCUUUGGAUUCGUCUGAAGGUGAGAGUGGCGAACGGGUGAGUAACACGUAGGUGACCUGCCCCGGAGAGGGGGACAACCACUGGAAACGGUGGCUAAUACCCCAGAUGUUAUUGCGCUUAGAAAGCAAUUGCUAAAGUUCCGGCGCUCCGGGAGGGGCCUGCGGCCCAUCAGCUUGUUGGUAAGGUAAUGGCUUACCAAGGCUAAGACGGGUAGGGGGCGUGAGAGCGUGACCCCCCCACACUGGUACUGAGACACGGACCAGAUACCUGCGGGUAGCAGCAGCAAGGAAUAUUGCCCAAUGGACGAAAGUCUGAGGCAGCAACACCGCGUGGAGGAUGAAGGCCUUCGGGUUGUAAACUCCUUUUCUGGGGGAAGAGAAAGGACGGUACCCCAGGAAUAAGUCUCGGCUAACUACGUG
This 494-nucleotide ribosomal RNA is filed under the name uncultured bacterium. RNAcentral describes it as "bacterial SSU rRNA". It matches the Rfam family "Bacterial small subunit ribosomal RNA", at positions 1 to 507 of the family's 1533-position model. The record is from RNAcentral.